ACUCCUACGGGAGGCAGCAGUAGGGAAUCUUCCACAAUGGGCGAAAGCCUGAUGGAGCAACGCCGCGUGGGUGAAGAAGGUCUUCGGAUCGUAAAAACCCUGUUGUUAGAGAAGAAAGUGCGUGAGAGUAACUGUUCACGUUUCGACGGUAUCUAACCAGAAAGCCACGGCUAACUACGUGCCAGCAGCCGCGGUAAUACGUAGGUGGCAAGCGUUAUCCGGAUUUAUUGGGGCGUAAAGGAACGCAGGCGGUCUUUUAAGUCUGAUGUGAAAGCCUUCGGCUUAACCGGAGUAGUGCAUUGGAAACUGGGAGACUUGAGUGCAGAAGAGGAGAGUGGAACUCCAUGUGUAGCGGUGAAAUGCGUAGAUAUAUGGAAGAACACCAGUGGCGAAAGCGGCUCUCUGGUCUGUAACUGACGCUGAGUUCGAAAGCGUGGGUAGCAAACA
RNAcentral lists this ribosomal RNA (447 nucleotides) under uncultured bacterium. RNAcentral's name for it is "bacterial SSU rRNA". It matches the Rfam family "Bacterial small subunit ribosomal RNA", at positions 335 to 774 of the family's 1533-position model. The record is from RNAcentral.